GACGGAGGGCGCUAGCGUUGUUCGGAAUCACUGGGCGUAAAGGGCGCGCAGGCGGCCUUCUCAGUCGGGCGUGAAAGCCCGGGGCUCAACCCCGGAACGGCGCCCGAGACGGGACGGCUCGAGACCGGGAGAGGAGGGUGGAAUAGCCAGUGUAGAGGUGAAAUUCGUAGAUAUUGGCUGGAACACCGGUGGCGAAAGCGGCUCUCUGGCCCGGUACUGACGCUGAGGUGCGAAAGCGUGGGGAGCAAACAGG
Molecule: ribosomal RNA, 253 nt
Filed under: uncultured bacterium
Lineage: Bacteria
Description: partial 16S ribosomal RNA
Rfam family: Bacterial small subunit ribosomal RNA
Source: RNAcentral